Molecule: long non-coding RNA, 437 nt
Organism: Pan paniscus (pygmy chimpanzee)
Lineage: Eukaryota; Metazoa; Chordata; Mammalia; Primates; Hominidae
Source: Ensembl
UUUUCUUGUUCCCAGGAGGUGAUCAGAGUUAGGAAUUACACUUACUGACCUGGACCUCGCGUUUUUGCGGAGACGCGGAAACAAGAUGUGUGCAGUCCGUCUGUCCAAUGAUUAGCCAGCCGACCUGGAGAGGGCCCUGGAAGGUGCCCAAAGGCAAGUCCGGUUCCGUCCCUCCUAGGGUCCAGGACAGCCCGCGCCGCGCGGGCCGGCAGCCGGAGCAGUCAGAGCGGCUGGGCGGUUGGCGCUGCCGGGUCUGCUGCCGACCUCUCAGGCCAAGCGCGCCUGGGCACCGCACUCACUCGCGGGGUGGGCGGGUGAAGUUCCGCAAGAGAUGGCCCGGCGAAGACAGACCUCCUGGACUUGAGGCCGACUUCACCAAAUCCGCCCCGGGAAAAGGCGAGGGCAAAGGCGGGGCGGACAGACCCAGCUGCGGCUGA